GAGAAGGAGACUCCACACCCCCUCCCCGGGCCUGUUCCAGUGCUCUGUCACCCUCAUUGUGAAAAGGUUUUGUCUCAUGUUUAAGUGGAACCUCCUAUGUUCCAGGUUACACCCGUUGCCCCUUGUCCUAUCAUUGGCAGGCUCCACCCUUCCAACA
Molecule: long non-coding RNA, 157 nt
Organism: Cygnus olor (mute swan)
Lineage: Eukaryota; Metazoa; Chordata; Aves; Anseriformes; Anatidae
Exons: 3
Source: RefSeq, a predicted model, not a curated record